UAGACAUCGAAGUCUCCGUCGCAGGUGAGGAUUCUAUCGAAGACUCCGUUGCCGGACAUCAAAGAAUCUACGACCAUCAUGGUGGAAACAACAGACGAUGUCUUCUAGCCGCUUCUUCUUUCUAAACUUUAAAUAACGGACGACGGACUGGCGGAGGCGGUGACAAAGGCCUUUGGGCAGACUGGCGGAGGACUGAUAUGUGGCGUAUUGGUGGAGCAGAAGCAAAGGCGGAGGACUGACGUAUGGCGUACUGGCGUCUCGCACUUGCGUUUGAAAACUCCGGUGAGAAAAUCAACCGGCUAGGCAGAACGAAGCAGAGAAAAAAUUGCACACUAGUGCCUAUGCCGCCUAGGCGCCCGGUCGCCGAGGAGGCCGAUUUCAGCAUUCCUCGACUGCCUAGCGCCUAUGCGCGAUUUUUGCAACUUUGGUUGUAGGUAUUCUUUCAAUAAAUCAUCCAUAAUAGUGCUAAAAUCAAGUUCUACUACAUCAUGUCAAGCUAAGAUGAUGUUCGUGUUUAUUUGUAUAAGAAGGGUUUUGAACCAAAUUAUUGGAUUUGGACAUGUCACGGCGAGCUUGCUCCCUCAAUACAACCACAUAUGGAUGAGGGCCUUAGUGAAAACAAUCGGUAUGAACAAAUGGUUUUUGAUGUAUCUGGUGCAUCAUUUGUUCCAUUAAAUGUAAAAACUGACCAAGACGAAGAACCACAUAGUAGUGCAAGAAACUUUUACGAUUUGUUAAAUGUUGCAAGACAUUGAUGAUGAUGAAUAUCAAGACAACUUUUAAUAUUCCAAAGAAAGCAAUGGAUCAGAUAUUUCAAAUAAUAACCGUAUGAUGGUUCCCGAUAAUCAAGUACCUACUAGGUAUUAUGAUGCAAAAAAAUUACUUACGAAGCUUAGUCUUGGACAUGAGAAGAUUGAUUGUUUUGUAAACAAUUGUAUGUUGUACUAUAAGUCUGAAAUCAAUGAUAGACACUGUAAGUAUUGUGGUGAGCCAA
Long non-coding RNA from Ipomoea nil (Japanese morning glory), 994 nucleotides. RefSeq lists it as uncharacterized. The record is from RefSeq and is a predicted model, not a curated record. The transcript is spliced from 2 exons. Lineage: Eukaryota; Viridiplantae; Streptophyta; Magnoliopsida; Solanales; Convolvulaceae.